AACGAACGCUGGCGGCGUGCCUAACACAUGCAAGUCGAGCGAGAAAGCCCGCAGGGGUGAGUAAAGCGGCGCACGGGUGCGUAACACGUGGGUAAUCUGCCCUGAGGUCCGGAAUAACUCGCCGAAAGGCGUGCUAAUGCCGGAUGAGACCACGGGAGCCUCGGCUCCUGCGGGAAAAGGUGGCCUCUGUACACAAGCUAUCGCUUCAGGAUGAGCCCGCGGCCCAUCAGCUCGUUGGCGGGGUAAUGGCCCACCAAGGCUACGACGGGUAGCUGGUCUGAGAGGACGAUCAGCCACACUGGAACUGAGACACGGUCCAGACUCCUACGGGAGGCAGCAGUGGGGAAUCUUGCGCAAUGGGCGAAAGCCUGACGCAGCAACGCCGCGUGUGUGAUGAAGGUCUUCGGAUCGUAAAGCACUGUCGCGAGGGACGAAUAAGGGGCGGGCUAACAUCCCGUUCCGAUGACGGUACCUCGAGAGGAAGCACCGGCUAACUCUGUGCCAGCAGCCGCGGUAAUACAGAGGGUGCAAGCGUUGUUCGGAAUUAUUGGGCGUAAAGCGCGUGUAGGCGGCCAUGCAAGUCGGGUGUGAAAGCCCUCGGCUUAACCGAGGAAGUGCGCCCGAAACUACAUGGCUUGAGUACCGGAGAGGGUGGCGGAAUUCCCGGUGUAGAGGUGAAAUUCGUAGAUAUCGGGAGGAACACCAGCGGCGAAGGCGGCCACCUGGACGGAUACUGACGCUGAGACGCGAAAGCGUGGGGAGCAAACAGGAUUAGAUACCCUGGUAGUCCACGCUGUAAACGAUGAGUGCUAGGUGUUGCGGGUGUUGACCCCUGCAGUGCCGCAGCUAACGCAUUAAGCACUCCGCCUGGGAAGUACGGCCGCAAGGCUA
RNAcentral lists this ribosomal RNA (891 nucleotides) under uncultured bacterium. Its description in RNAcentral is "bacterial SSU rRNA". It matches the Rfam family "Bacterial small subunit ribosomal RNA", at positions 28 to 896 of the family's 1533-position model. The record is from RNAcentral.